RNAcentral lists this long non-coding RNA (1310 nucleotides) under Piliocolobus tephrosceles (Ugandan red Colobus). RNAcentral describes it as "lncRNA (ENSPTEG00000010866.1)". The record is from RNAcentral. Lineage: Eukaryota; Metazoa; Chordata; Mammalia; Primates; Cercopithecidae.
AUAUGUUAAUACAUCCUUACAUGUAUUUAUUUUGAAGCAUUUUUCUUUUUAAAAUGAUUUCAUAAAUUUUAAUAAUAUAAAAUAGUAACAAAAUAGCACUUCAUCGUUUCAAGGAUGUUUCAUAAAGACCAACGUGGAGAGGCUGUUUCAAUCUACAAAAUUACGUGUACAUAAAUAUAUAUAUACACUUUUAUAUGUGUAUGUACCACACAAGUAAACUAUCACACGACUCCUCCCUCUCCCCCCUUCCCCCCCCCCAAAAAAAAAAAAACAUGUUUUAAAAGACUGAGCUAACCACGCAUAUAAGUUAAUUCAAAAAAACAAAAGCAAAAAAAAAAAAUGGAUCAUAAAUAUAGUCCUGUACUGGAUGAUAUAGAAAAUAAUAAAUCAACUAUUACCUAUUUAAAUGAAGAAGAAGAUCCUUCAAAAAAUAAAAUAAAAUAUAAUUAUGAAUCUAGGCGUACAGAAGAGUUGUCGUUAAACAAUAUAUAUGGGAAGAUUGUAAAAAUAAGAAAAGAGUUAGAAAAGUCAUAUAAUUUAUAUUAUUCUUAUAAUCUGAUUGUUAAUAAUAAUGACAUAGAAAAAGAUAUAGACACAUCUUUGAACAUGUACAAUAAUAUAAAUAGAAGGAAUGACAUUAUUAAUCCUACUACUAAUAGCUCGAUAAAUAAUUUAACAUUGAAUAAAAUUAAUGCCUUAACUAAUUCAUUUUAUAUGAAUAUAGGUACAUUAAAAAAUGCAUAUGCUUUUAUAAAUAGCAAUAAUAUGAAUAAUAGUAUAAUAAAUAAUGAGAAUGUGAUUUGGGAGAAACGUAUAGAAACCUUAACAAAUGAAUCAAAUGUUUAUAUUAAAACAUUAGAUAAUAUUUAUAAAAAUAAUUUAAAACAGUCUGAACAAAAUAAAAAAAAAAAUAUGAGUAGUACAUAUGAAAAUAAUAAAAAAAAAAAAAAAAAUACACUUUCUAAUGAAUCUGCUAUAAGUUAUUUACAUCAAGAAAAAGAAAUAUUAAAACAAAUAGAAGAUAGUUUAAAUGUUUUUUAUACUCAGGGUGUUAAUACUUUGAAUAAUUUAAGAAGACAAAAUAAAUUUUUAAAAGGAGUUCGUAAAAAAAUUAUAGAUAUAUCAAACUAUAUAGGCUUGUCAAUGUCUUUAGUUGAUAUGAUUAAAAAAACACAUAAACAAAACUUGAUAAUUGUGAUUGUUGGUAUGGUUUUAGUGUUACUUUUUUUUUAUUUUUUAUAUUCUUAUUUUAAAUAGUUAUUACUUGUGUGGGCAUGUACGUGUAUGUGUAUAGGUUUAUAUUUUUACGU